GCGGGUGUGGCGAAAUGGUAGCCGCGCUAGAUUUAGGAUCUGGUGGACGAAAGUCCGUGGAGGUUCGAAUCCUCUCACCCGUACCA
Molecule: transfer RNA, 86 nt
Filed under: marine sediment metagenome
Description: tRNA-Leu
Rfam family: tRNA
About the family: Transfer RNA (tRNA) molecules are approximately 80 nucleotides in length. Their secondary structure includes four short double-helical elements and three loops (D, anti-codon, and T loops). Further hydrogen bonds mediate the characteristic L-shaped molecular structure. tRNAs have two regions of fundamental functional importance: the anti-codon, which is responsible for specific mRNA codon recognition, and the 3' end, to which the tRNAs corresponding amino acid is attached (by aminoacyl-tRNA synthetases). tRNAs cope with the degeneracy of the genetic code in two manners: having more than one tRNA (with a specific anti-codon) for a particular amino acid; and 'wobble' base-pairing, i.e. permitting non-standard base-pairing at the 3rd anti-codon position.
Source: RNAcentral